Molecule: non-coding RNA, 152 nt
Filed under: Desulfomicrobium norvegicum
Lineage: Bacteria; Pseudomonadati; Thermodesulfobacteriota; Desulfovibrionia; Desulfovibrionales; Desulfomicrobiaceae
Source: RNAcentral
UCCAUCGCGAGGUGGAAUCUGAAGGAAGCCGCAGGCAAGACCCUGGCUCGACGAACAGAAAUCGCAUGUGAGGCGGUCGCGCCGGAGGAGAAGGCAAAUAUCUUCAUUGGUGAUUGGGAAAGGCGGGGAAUCGGGGUGAAACGCACAGCCCC